Molecule: long non-coding RNA, 374 nt
Organism: Medicago truncatula (barrel medic)
Lineage: Eukaryota; Viridiplantae; Streptophyta; Magnoliopsida; Fabales; Fabaceae
Exons: 3
Source: RefSeq, a predicted model, not a curated record
GAUUCCUUUUCUCUUACUCUAUAAUAAUCUUCUACUUUCCACUUUGAUUUUUUUAUUUUGCUUGCUUCCACUUCCACCAACAACUGCAGUUUUCAACUUUGUGAUCCUCAGGACAUGAAGAAGUUGGAAGAGAAUGCUUGAUAUUUACUGUCUUUGAUGAUUGAUAUGAAACAGAAUCAACAGUCUAAGUAGCUUCCAAAAGAAUGCAACAAGAAACUACCAACUGGACCCUCCAAGAGGAUGUAAGCUCAAGAACCAAUCGAGCACUUAUGAGCCAUAGAUCCUCAUUUCAUGGAUUAUGACCUUCCGUUGAUUGAAUUGAUGAUGUAUUUAUGGAUUUUGAUGAAGCUUCCAAUGAUUGAAUUGAUGAUGUA